UGGGGAAUAUUGCACAAUGGGCGCAAGCCUGAUGCAGCCAUGCCGCGUGUGUGAAGAAGGCCUUCGGGUUGUAAAGCACUUUCAGCGGGGAGGAAGGCGAUAAGGUUAAUAACCUUGUCGAUUGACGUUACCCGCAGAAGAAGCACCGGCUAACUCCGUGCCAGCAGCCGCGGUAAUACGGAGGGUGCAAGCGUUAAUCGGAAUUACUGGGCGUAAAGCGCACGCAGGCGGUCUGUCAAGUCGGAUGUGAAAUCCCCGGGCUCAACCUGGGAAAUGCAUUCGAAACUGGCAGGCUAGAGUAUUGUAGAGGGGGGUAGAAUUCCAGGUGUAGCGGUGAAAUGCGUAGAGAUCUGGAGGAAUACCGGUGGCGAAGGCGGCCCCCUGGGCAAAGACUGACGCUCAGGUGCGAAAGCGUGGGGAGCAAACAGG
This 429-nucleotide ribosomal RNA is filed under the name Chloroflexota bacterium. RNAcentral describes it as "Chloroflexi bacterium partial 16S ribosomal RNA". It matches the Rfam family "Bacterial small subunit ribosomal RNA", at positions 355 to 776 of the family's 1533-position model. The record is from RNAcentral. Lineage: Bacteria; Bacillati; Chloroflexota.